This 443-nucleotide ribosomal RNA is filed under the name uncultured bacterium. Its description in RNAcentral is "partial 16S ribosomal RNA". It matches the Rfam family "Bacterial small subunit ribosomal RNA", at positions 338 to 795 of the family's 1533-position model. The record is from RNAcentral.
CCUACGGGAGGCAGCAGUGGGGAAUAUUGGGCAAUGGGCGCAAGCCUGACCCAGCAACGCCGCGUGAAGGAAGAAGGCUUUCGGGUUGUAAACUUCUUUUCUCAGGGACGAAGAAAGUGACGGUACCUGAGGAAUAAGCCACGGCUAACUACGUGCCAGCAGCCGCGGUAAGACGUAGGUGGCAAGCGUUAUCCGGAUUUACUGGGGGUAAAGGGCGUGUAGGCGGGACUGGAAGUCAGUUGUGAAAACCACGGGCUCAACCUGUGGCCUGCAUUUGAAACUGUAGUUCUUGAGUACUGGAGAGGCAGGCGGAAUUCCUAGUGUAGCGGUGAAAUGCGUAGAUAUUAGGAGGAACACCAGUGGCGAAGGCGGUCUGCUGGACAGCAACUGACGCUGAGGCGCGAAAGCGUGGGGAGCAAACAGGAUUAGAUACCCGGGUAGUC